GCUUAGAGUUUGAUCCUGGCUCAGGAUGAACGCUGGCGACAUGGAUAAGGCAUGCAAGUCGAACGGAACUAAUCACACGGAAGCGUAAAGUGAGUUUGAGUAGCAAUACGACGACGAGCAAUACGUGGAGGAGUGACAGUUUAGUGGCAGACGAGGUAGUAAUACAUAGGAAUCUCCCCCAAAGUCAGGAAUAACUCACCGAAAGGUGGGCUAAUACUUGAUAUCUCGCAAGAGGAAAGAUUUAACGCUUUGGGAAGAGCCUGUGCAAUAUCAGCUAGUUGGUACGGUAAUGGCGUACCAAGGCUAUGACGUUUAGGGGAGGUGAGAGCCUGACCCCCACCGAUGGGACUGAGACACGGCCCAUACACCUACGGGUGGCUGCAGUCAAGAACUUUCCGCAAUGAACGCAAGUCUGACGGAGCGAUGUCGCGUGAUAGAUGAAGAGCUUCGGUUUGUAAAUAUCUUUUAUGUGGGAAGAAUUUUGACGGUACCACAUGAAUAAGGGGUUGCUAAACUCGUGCCAGCAGCAGCGGUAAUACGAGUACCCCGAGCGUUAUCCGGAAUUAUAGGGCGUAAAGGGUGAGUAGGUGGAUGUAUUAGUCGAAUGUUAAAUCUUAGAGCUUAACUUUAAGUCCGCAUUCGAAACGGUAUGUCUAGAGUAUGUGAGGGGUGAGCGGAACUCUAUGUGUAGGGGUGAAAUCCGUUGAUAUAUAGGGGAACACCAAAAGCGAAGGCAGCUCACUGGCACAUUACUGACACUGAAUCACGAAAGCGUGGGUAGCGAAUGGGAUUAGAUACCCCAGUAGUCCACGCCCUAAACGAUGAUCUCUAGCUAUUCGGAGUAUCGACCCUCUGAGUGGCUAAGCUAACGCGAUAAGAGAUCCGCCUGGGAAGUACGGCCGCAAGGCUAAAACUCAAAGGAAUAGACGGGGACCUGCACAAGCAGUGGAUUAUGUGGUUUAAUUCGACAGUAAACGAAACACCUCACCAGGAUUUGAAGCUCACGUGAAAUCCGUAGAAAUACGGCCCUUGAAAGACACGUGGACAGGUGAUGCAUGGCCGUCGUCAGUUCGUGGUUUGAACUGUUCCCUUCAGUGGGGCAACGAACGCAACCCUUAUUGCGUGUUACAAGUGUCACGCGAGACUGCCCAGCCCAGUGUUCAUAAUUUUUUAUAAAUUGUGAGUAAUGGGCUGGGAGGAAGGAGAGGAUGACGUCAGGUCAGCAUGUCCCUUUGACAUCCUGGGCUACACACAUAAUACAAUCGGUACAACAACGGGUCGCGACGAGGUAACUCUGAGCCAAUCCUUCAAAUGUAUCGCCAGUUCGGAUUGAGGUCUGCAACUCGACCUCAUGAAGCCGGAAUUGCUAGUAAUCGCGGGUCAGCCAUUCCGCGGUGAAUACGUUCUCAGGUCUUGUACUCACUGCCCGUCAACUCAAGAGAGCUGGAAGUACCCGACGUCUGCCCAUGUGGCGGCCUAAGGUAAGUUCAGUGAUAGGGAGUAAGUCGUAACAAGGUAACCAAGCC
RNAcentral lists this ribosomal RNA (1526 nucleotides) under uncultured bacterium. Its description in RNAcentral is "bacterial SSU rRNA". It matches the Rfam family "Bacterial small subunit ribosomal RNA". The record is from RNAcentral.